Amphiprion ocellaris (clown anemonefish) is the source of this 4310-nucleotide long non-coding RNA. RefSeq lists it as uncharacterized. The transcript is spliced from 2 exons. The record is from RefSeq and is a predicted model, not a curated record. Lineage: Eukaryota; Metazoa; Chordata; Actinopteri; Pomacentridae.
GGCCGGUGGUGGGUCUUGAACCUGCGGACCCUCCGCUCUGUAGUCUCUCCUCUUAUCCCCCCUGAGCUACUCGCUCAGAUACUAAUUCUCUCGGUUUUUGCGCAUUUAUCAUCUAUUUUUUGGCGUUUUCGAGUUUUUUUUUUAACUCAAGUCUCGACUCGACCGUUUUUCUCAGGAGGUUGGACUUCAGCCUUUGUGCUGGAGGGUGGAACCCUCAGUUCCAAGACUUUCCAAAGCCUCCACACCUCCCAAGUCCUCAGGACCUGAGCUUUCACACAGUCUGAGGGUUGAAAUUUUCUAAGUCCCACAGUAGUUCUCUGUUAGAUUGAACCUUCAGACAGUCCAAGGACUGAUAUCUUCUAAGUUCCUGAGUAGUUCUCUGUUAGUUUGAACCUUCAGACAGUCUGAGGACUGAAAUCUUGAAAGUUUCUCAGUACUUCUCUGUUAGUUUGAACCUUCAGACAGUCUGAGGACUGAAAUCUUAAAAGUUUCUCAGUACUUCUCUGUUAGUUUGAACCUUUAGACAGUCUGAGGACUGAAAUCUUAGAAGUUUCUUAGUACUUCUCUGUUAGUUUGAACUUUCUGGUUAACAGAAGCCUUAAAACUUGUGACCAUGAGUCUUGAUUUCACAUUUAGACCAUCCAUCUGAGUUCUUCUCAGACCUUCACCUGUAGGUUUUUUAGAAAUCCUGAACAAACUUUGAUUCUCUUCACUGAACAGUAAAAUUUGUAGAGAUCAGAAGGUAACAUUAGUUUGAUUGAUGCCUUCAACUACUCGUAGACUUUAUCUGGAAAGCAGUUUUCUGAAAUGAGUUCUUAGUAAAUCUGUCCACAAUCAAACCAAGAACAUAGAAAGAGGAAAUGUUUGAAGAAACAAUUUGAUGUUUUCAUUUCAGACUAGAAAACACUUUAAGGCCUUUAUCUGUUUUUGCUCUUUUGAUCAAUUUAUUGUUUCUUCUGUUUAAUUUGAACUUCUAAAGUUUAACUGGUGCCCUUUCAAAUGUUUAAUCUUUAGUUUGAUUCUUAAAUGUUUAGUUUUGCUCUUUUCUCACCUUUUAUUCUGUUCUAAUGUCUGAUCUGAUUUCCAAAUGUUUUGUCUUUUUAAUGUUUAAUUGUUGUUUUUUCAAAUGUUUUAUCAGCCUGUUUGAAAAAUUUCCUUUUCUUUCCCAAUGUUUAAUUUUUUGAUUAAAUCUUUGUAAGGUUUUUCUUUUUAAAUGUUUUACCACCUUUUAAUGUUUAAUUUUCUUUUUUAAUGCUUCAUUGUAUUUUCUGUUUAAUUCCUAUUUAAAGUUUUAUUGUCUUUAAGAUUUAAUUUACUAAUUAAACAUUUAAUUUUUUAAUUAAAUGUUUUGACUUUGAAAGGUUUAAUAAUCUAAUUAAAUGUUUUGUAUUUUUCUAAAUGUGUAAUAUUCUUGUUUAAUUGUAUUUUUUAAAUGUUUAAUUAUCUAAUAUAUUUCAUCUUUAAUGGUUAAUAUUUUUGUUUAAAAAUUUUUGUUUAAUUUCAUAAUUACAUGCUUUGUGUCUUCCAUUUAAUUAUCUAACUAAAUAUUUUGUCUAAUAUAAUUUAAUUGUAUUUAAUGGUUAAUUUUCUUUUUAAAAGUUUUCUUAUAUUAAAUGUUUUUUUCCUUUGAUUUAAUUGCUUUUUACUGUAGUUUAUUUCUUUAAUCUUUUUUCUGCCAAGAUUGUAACCCCAACCUUAAAAAUGAAACAAACCCUUAAAUCACAAUGAAAAUACUUCUGUUGUCACAAUCAUGAGUUAGUCAAUUAUUCAGUUUAUCAAUUCAGCUUUAUUUGUUUAGCACCUUUCACACAGAUAACAAAACUUAACAAGUAAAGAGAAAAAACUAUGCUAAAACUAUGAUUAAAACUCACAAACAAAAAAAUAGAUGUAACAUGGUAAUUAAAUAUGUUGUGUCCAGGGGAUGGAGGGAGUUUAUUGAAGUCUUCUUGGGCUCACAUGGUAAAUCAUUUAAAAUAUAAACUUGAUAUUCAGUCUAAGGAAACUGCAGAAUGACAGAAGAACCAACAAUAUCUCCUGUUUUCUCCUUUAAUGAGUCGACUCUUCUUGUGCUUUCAGACCAAAGAACUACAGACUCUUCACAACCUGCUCAAACUCUUGGUACAGGACCUCACCACACGGAUCAAGAAGGUUUCCAUCUCAUUUCUACUCUGAAGAUCACCUUCUCCUGCUCAAACUGCUGAUAAAUGUUACUGCUGCUCUAAAGUCUGCUCUCCAGAACUUCCUAAAAACUCUCAAAGUCUCUUCUGCUGCAGGUUGCUUUGUAGAACUGUUCCAGAAAACCUCACUAAACCACAUGGAGGGGCCUCAAGAUAGUCGUCCAAAUGAAACCAUACAAAAACCAAACUAGCACAACCCAAACGCUAAAGUCUCCUGCAGCCUACCAGAGAACCUCUGAGAACAGAGAAUCAGGACAGGAACUCUUACCUUCUGGACAACCAACGCUGGUUCUCAAACAGGAAUACAGAAUGUGUCUGACCAAAAACCUCUAAAGACUCACUACAGCCAAGAUAAAGACAACGCAGCUGCACCAAAUCCACUAAUUACUGCACACAUUAGCACCAUGUGCCAACUGUGGCUAAAGAACCACCUUUACCAAGACAACUAUCCAGUACAAAGCCCUAAAACACACCAAGAAACACAUUAAAGUCUAUUUUACUGCUGGAAGCUGCAAGCCAACGCCUAAAGAACAAAUUAAAGCAAUGGAGCCAAACCCAGUUCAGUGGUGAAGAGAAGCAGAGGAAAUGUUUGUCUGCAGCUAAAUAAAGCAGGAAGACACUGAGCUGCUCAGGUGUUCCUGAUAACACCAAGCAGCCACCUGGACAGCCAAUAGGAACACAGCUUCCUGGAAGUCCAGAGGGCUGGGUUAGUGAAGGAAAUUUAGUUUAAAGUUGAAGCAGAAAGUUAACAAAGAAAGUUGAAAACCACCUUCUGAUACCUGAAAUCUCUGAGUUUUCACACAAAGAACACCUGAACAUGUCAAACUGGUUCCAUAGUAGAACCAUCAUUGUAAAAACGUCAUAGUAUGGUGUGUUGCUCAAAAAACAUUAGGACCCGGCUGUCAGGGGACAAACAUGUAAGAAACAUGAGAACAGAGAGAACCCAACCAGUAGGUCACAGUUUAUCAUCCCCCAGUCAUCUCCUGAAGUCCAUAUGGUGAGAGACAUCAGUAUCUGGUUGUUAAUUUACCAGAGGAUGCUUAUAAUCAUGCUGAUGUGGUCUGUACUCUACAGUAUUUUAGUGACUCAAUAAAUACCUAAGUUGUUUUUUUAAAAAUGCUUUUUAGUUUUUAAUAAACAUUUAACAGCCUAUAUGUAAUCAAUAAAUGGCCUUUGCCUAUCUUAAGAAAAAUUCACUCAGAACUCUGAUAUGUUAACAGUACUAAAUAAAUCAAUAAAUACAUGCAUACACACAUAAAUAAGUUAAUACAUUAACUGUGUUAAGAUAAGAUUUAGAUUUUUUAAAAAAAAAGUUGUUUAUGUUUUUGCAGAAUCCAGUAUUGCACACUGGUUGUUCAUUACAUUUUGUUAGUUUGAUUUCACUGUUUAAAAUGAUGCCACCUCUUUUCAGACAGAACCUGUGAUAAUAAAACAAUACAAAAUUUUUAGUUCCGUGUUAAUAAAGCACUUAAAUCUUUAAGUAUGGCUAAAUGCUUUUUUCAAAAUUAAAUAUAUCACUCCUUAGGUGGUAGUGGCCCCAAGUUCAGUAAAGUUGGAAAGAUAUUCACAGAUUCACACUUCCAGCAUCAAUAACUCGUUAGAUAUAGGUUGUCAAAACAUAAACGGUGCCUCUUUCCCAUUGUUGCAAGGCAGACAAUGUGCUACAAGCCCAGUUUUAUCAAAAGUAGCUGUCUUUCAAGCUACAGGAAUAACAUUGGUGUCUAUGGAGUGAACAGGGUCCGUCUGCAAUUUGCAAAACCACUGCAACAGUAAAGAGAGACAAAUAUUCAAUAACUUCACUCUUAUACAUUGUAGUGUCACUAAAAUCACUGCAGCCUUCAACUGGCUCCUGUUGACAAAGUGUUUUAACAGAAAUGUAAAUGCUGUAAUUUGAUUCUUUUAAUGAACCAUGUAACUUGAAUGGAUGUGAUGCUGGUGUGACCACAGUGCAUACGUCUGAUGUUGCUCACAGUGGUCCAAGGGACGCUCAGGGAGUUUGUGUGUUUGCUCAGACUCAGGAAAAAUUACAGGGAACAUUGCUCUGAAGUGAUGUAUGUUUGAAUUGGCACUAUAUUUAUAAAACUGAUUUAAAUGAAUCUUUUAUAUGUGAUUUCCAAUUAGAUGAUUUUUUUU